Long non-coding RNA from Petromyzon marinus (sea lamprey), 736 nucleotides. RefSeq lists it as uncharacterized. The record is from RefSeq and is a predicted model, not a curated record. NCBI's taxonomy places the organism in Eukaryota, Metazoa, Chordata, Hyperoartia, Petromyzontiformes, Petromyzontidae.
UACGUGGUGACUUUACCGAAAGAACCAAGAACAUGAAUCCCUGCAGUCACGAAAGCUUUAAAUCAAAAUUUCAAUAUGCCCCUGUUUUGGCACGCACAUAAAAAAACACGGUUUUCAUUCUUUCACGGGCGUGACGGAUAUGUGUGCGAGCAUCUACACCGCGCUUGCGCGACCGCCACGGAUGAACACGAACCGCGCGAACGCAAAGGCGGCGUCGGCGCCGCCUCGCAAACGCGGAUCGCUUCGCAGGCCUCCAGCGGCGUUUGCCUCGGACUGCAUCGCCAUUUGACGAGACAAGAAAUAUUGGAGGCUCUCCGCGUUCGCCCGCUGUGCGGGAGUACGGCGAUUCAUCGUCGGAGCCAAGGACGAGGGUGCACACAAAGUUCCCGAUUACGUGGAACAGAGGUCAUCGCAAAGUCGCACGUGGAGAGACUUUCCUACGGCUCCCAGCCUCCCCGUGGCGCGCAUUGGUUAGCGCACUGAACUUACAAUCCAGAGCCCCGGCAGGUUCUAUUCAUUGGGAAAAAGACAAACAAACUCUACGCGCUGGAGCAGAAUAUGCAUUCAUGCUGUCUGCACGCCAAAGCUUCUUGGCUUUGGAUAUGGUGCCCAUUUCAUGAAGUUCCAAAGGGGUGAUCGUGAUGAUGAAUGUUUAUGACCACGAUGAUGAUAACGAAGGUGACUAUGGUGAUGGUGAUGAAGAUAACUAUGGUGAGUAUGGUGAUGAUGGUGAUGA